Molecule: long non-coding RNA, 1432 nt
Organism: Syngnathus acus (greater pipefish)
Lineage: Eukaryota; Metazoa; Chordata; Actinopteri; Syngnathiformes; Syngnathidae
Exons: 4
Source: RefSeq, a predicted model, not a curated record
GGAUGGAUAAUAAUUUACCACAAUAACAAAAACAAGAAUUUCACUUACAGCUCGGUGAAGGUGCGCAGCGCUGAAAACAGUGACGACAGCAUUGUGUUUUCCCGUGUUGGUGGCCUGAAAGACAUUUACAUUGUUUGGUUAUUGAAUUACAGAUUCAAAUAACUCAAAUAAAUUGUGUCUUUUUGACAGAAACAUGGAAUAGAAGAGGCUAAACUGUGACCAAGAGUCAAAAAAGCCAAAAAUGCUAAAGUUCUCCUGCUUCAAGACAUGCAAAUAACAAUCACCCAAUGAGGGUAGAUAAGGUGUCUGGGCUACCAAAAGAACAGAAGCAAACACAUGGCGAGGGGAUAGCAACAGGAAAUCACCCUUGCAGAUGCAAGAAAAUUUGAAAAUCAUCUGGGGACGAGACUCCAUGUGACCAUGUCUUCAACGAGAUGAGAUAUACUGGUCGUGUCAGCGAUGCCAGAUGACUUUGGAUGAAAGGCUGACUACACCCUCGACUGGUCGCCAGUCAGUCACGAGGCAUGCAACCAUUCACACUCCAUACCACUGAUGUCAACCAAGACAGCCCCACAACAUCCAGAGUCUUUGGGAACUCCGGGCAGAUCUUUUGCACAGAGGAGCUUUUCAACCACCUCCGUGACUUCAAUCCCAGAGACAGCAGAGGCCCCUCAACAAGCACACAUCGUUUACUGUUGCGCAACAAAAGGAGAGACAGUCAACUAAUUGAGUUGGACCAAUGUUGUUAUCUGCCAAAGCAAAGUCACCUUCACAACAAUAUCUGUGCCCACCAAAAAUCUUUUGGAAUGACCACUGAGUUCUACAUAAUCUACUGUACCUGUUACCCCAGCACUAAGCAAGUCAUCAUGAUGAUGUCAUCAACAAAUCAUCAACAGCAUUCACUAAACUAAACUGCUUAGCAUGAUGCAGACACACAAAAAUAUUUAGGCUAUAACAGAGGGUUAUUAAAAGAACUGCAAAGGCACUCACCAAACGUCACAGGUUGCAAUUUGACCAUUUGUAGAGUCAGAUUCAAACCGCUUCAUGUAAAUUGUUCCUGGUGCUGCUGACUUGCUGCUUGGGUUGCAUUUCAUUGUGUGUUUGUGUACGUUUGUGUGUACGUCUUGGUGUGCCUAAUCCCUACUGAGUAGAGUUGGUGCUAAGCAGCAACAGCUCACUAGAGAGUAAGUCACAUUCAACUGUGAUGUGUGUCACAGCAUUGUUUUCUUGACGGUGGUCAUUUUGAGGUCCAGUAGAGCAGCUAAGAUCUGUUGAGUUUUGAAGUAUCAUUUGUAGACAUUUUAUAGCAUUUGCCGUCAUGGUUUGCUGGUGGCGGCGUAUUUAUUUACAAUGGUUUUACAAUACUCCAAAGUCUAUUUACCUGAUUAUUUUCUAACAUGAAGGACAACCCCUGAAGGACAUCCCCUCAACA